Molecule: ribosomal RNA, 511 nt
Filed under: uncultured bacterium
Lineage: Bacteria
Description: bacterial SSU rRNA
Rfam family: Bacterial small subunit ribosomal RNA
Source: RNAcentral
CAAUGGGCGCAAGCCUGAUCCAGCCAUGCCGCGUGCAGGAAGACGGUCCUAUGGAUUGUAAACUGCUUUUGUACAGGAAGAAACACUCCCUCGUGAGGGAGCUUGACGGUACUGUAAGAAUAAGGAUCGGCUAACUCCGUGCCAGCAGCCGCGGUAAUACGGAGGAUCCAAGCGUUAUCCGGAAUCAUUGGGUUUAAAGGGUCCGUAGGCGGCUUUAUAAGUCAGUGGUGAAAGCCCAUCGCUCAACGAUGGAACGGCCAUUGAUACUGUAGAGCUUGAAUUAUUAGGAAGUAACUAGAAUAUGUAGUGUAGCGGUGAAAUGCUUAGAGAUUACAUGGAAUACCAAUUGCGAAGGCAGGUUACUACUAAUGGAUUGACGCUGAUGGACGAAAGCGUGGGGAGCGAACAGGAUUAGAUACCCUGGUAGUCCACGCCGUAAACGAUGGAUACUAGCUGUUGGGGGCAACUUCAGUGGCUAAGCGAAAGUGAUAAGUAUCCCACCUGGGGAGUA